GGAACACUAACUUUAGUAAGAUAUAACUUUAAGUGAACAAAUUUUAAAGUCAGGUCCUAAUUCACUCUGAGAUUUUACAUGAGAUACAUACACAUGGAUCAAAAGACAAAAGAGUGCUGAGCAUGUGGCACACACCUAUAAUCUCAGUGGCUUGGGAAUCUGAGGAAGGAGGCCAAGUUCAAGGCCACACUCAGCAAUUUAGUGAGAUGUUGUUUAAAAAUAAAACUUGCAAUAAGAAAAAUUGCUAGGGGUGUGGCUCAGCAGUAGAGAGACACACCUGAGUUUAAUCCCUAGUACCAAAUAAUAACAAUAAUAAUAAUAAUACAAAGAGUACAAGCAUCAGUUGUCAUCUAUUCUGAAUUGCAUAGUUUUCAUGACUGAAUGACCAAAGUUCACUGCCCUCAGUCAAACCUUGGGUACCCUGGUUUGGCUUUAUGUGGAGUCCUUAGGUAUCUCAACUUUUCUAUCCACAAGAAAUAUUAAAUGAACCUUCACAGAAUUCACUCAGAGAUUGAAGGGACUUGGUGAAAUCAUCCCAGGCUCUGCCUAAUUGACUGAUUUUUGUUUUGCUGGACAAGAAAUCUUAUGCCAUUACUAUAGAUAUGUUAUUAAAUAAUAAUAAUUUUAAAAAUGCUUUAGACUCAUAGUUGUGAGAUUUAGAUUCUAAGCAUGUUUUGUUACUAAUGGGUUUUGUCACCUUGAGUGAGACUUCUCUCACUUUUUCACCUCAAUUCCUCAUGUUGAAGAAGGAUUAAUAAGAACAAAAUAAUUUAUUCUGCACUUUUUCUGAGUCAGAGAUUACUAGUUUUAUGUUAUAUCUUUAAGUCUUUAUAAAAUUGUGUAGUGGAAAAUGAUAAAAUUAUAAAUUUGUCUUCACACUCCCAAUUAACUGGUGCAGAAGCUGUGGUCUAAAAGCUUUAAGUGACACAACAAAAAAAAAUAUUCUCAAAAUUCUUCCAACCUAUUUGUAAUUUUUUUUAAAAGGCCAGGUUGACUGUAUUAUUUUCCCUAAGAUGUUUCUCUCAGACACUUGCUUGCUAGUUGGUGCUCAACACAGAAGCUAAAGUGUGAAGUGUUUUGCAAUCUGCCUCCUGCUUCUUUCUACCACCCUCACUCUGAAUUUCUGAUAUAAACCUCAUCAUAGGCAUCUCAAAGGCAAUGGCAUAACUGGCAGGACACUAGGUAGCAAAUCCUGGUCUCCAUCCAUCUUAGGAAAGUAAUUUCAUAAUGUCCCAACUAUAAUAGUUUAUGAUUACAUUUAAAUUAAAAGAUCUGGCUUUCUUCCUUGUGUGGAAGAGAAUAUAUCUUUAGAAAUAAGAGAAAAACUCAUAAGAAAAAUAUUCAAUAAUUCUGAUCCCUUUUUUUCUCUCUACACUGGCUUAAAACAUAGAUGGGAUGAGAAAUGGGGAAAAUAAAUAUUACUAUUAGU
Molecule: long non-coding RNA, 1429 nt
Filed under: Marmota monax (woodchuck)
Lineage: Eukaryota; Metazoa; Chordata; Mammalia; Rodentia; Sciuridae
Source: RNAcentral